UACGUAGGGUGCAAGCGUUGUCCGGAAUCAUUGGGCGUAAAGCGCGCGUAGGUGGUCAUGUAAGUCCGCUGUGAAAGUCAAAGGCUCAACCUUUGAAAGCCGGUGGAUACUGUGGGACUAGAGUACGGAAGAGGCGAGUGGAAUUCCUGGUGUAGCGGUGGAAUGCGCAGAUAUCAGGAGGAACACCAAUAGCGAAGGCAGCUCGCUGGGACGUUACUGACACUGAGGCGCGAAAGCGUGGGGAGCGAACAGG
Molecule: ribosomal RNA, 253 nt
Filed under: uncultured bacterium
Lineage: Bacteria
Description: partial 16S ribosomal RNA
Rfam family: Bacterial small subunit ribosomal RNA
Source: RNAcentral